CCUACGGGAGGCAGCAGUGAGGAAUAUUGGUCAAUGGCCGGAAGGCUGAACCAGCCAUGCCGCGUGAAGGGCAGCGACCUAAGGGCGUUAAACUUCUUUUGUGCGGGAGCAAUAAUGGUCACGUGUGGCCAGACGAGAGUACCGUAAGAAUAAGCAACGGCAAACUACGUGCCAGCAGCCGCGGUAAUACGUAGGUGGCAAGGGUUAUCCGGAUUGUUUGGUUGUAAAGGGCGUGUAGGCGGGAGCGCAAGUCAGAUGUGAAAACUCAGGGCUCAACCCUGAGCCUGCAUUUGAAACUGUGUUUCUUGAGUGCUGGAGAGGCAAUCGGAAUUCCGUGUGUAGCGGUGAAAUGCGUAGAUAUACGGAGGAACACCAGUGGCGAAGGCGGAUUGCUGGACAGUAACUGACGCUGAGGCGCGAAAGCGUGGGGAGCAAACAGGAUUAGAUACCCCAGUAGUC
This 459-nucleotide ribosomal RNA is filed under the name uncultured bacterium. RNAcentral's name for it is "partial 16S ribosomal RNA". It matches the Rfam family "Bacterial small subunit ribosomal RNA", at positions 338 to 795 of the family's 1533-position model. The record is from RNAcentral.